This 1482-nucleotide ribosomal RNA is filed under the name Pelagibacterales bacterium SAG-MED46. RNAcentral describes it as "bacterial SSU rRNA". It matches the Rfam family "Bacterial small subunit ribosomal RNA". Lineage: Bacteria; Pseudomonadati; Pseudomonadota; Alphaproteobacteria; Candidatus Pelagibacterales. The record is from RNAcentral.
UUUAAACUUGAGAGUUUGAUCAUGGCUCAGAACGUACGCUGGCGGCACGCCUAACACAUGCAAGUCGAACGAAGUAGCAAUACUUAGUGGCAGACGGGUGAGUAACAUGUAGGUAUCUACCCUUUGGCCUGGAAUAACACGAGGAAACUUGUGCUAAUACCGGAUAAGUCUUUACGGAGAAAGCUUUAUGCACCAUUGGAUGAGCCUGCACUUGAUUAGUUUGUUGGUGGGGUAAUGGCCUACCAAGACUGUGAUCAAUAGCUGAUUUGAGAGGAUGAUCAGCCACAUUGGGACUGAGACACGGCCCAAACUCCUACGGGAGGCAGCAGUGGGGAAUCUUGCACAAUGGAGGAAACUCUGAUGCAGCGAUGCCGCGUGAGUGAAGAAGGCCUUUGGGUUGUAAAGCUCUUUCGUCGGGGAAGAAAAUGACUGUACCCGAAUAAGAAGGUCCGGCUAACUUCGUGCCAGCAGCCGCGGUAAUACGAAGGGACCUAGCGUAGUUCGGAAUUACUGGGCUUAAAGAGUUCGUAGGUGGUUGAAAAAGUUGGUGGUGAAAUCCCAGAGCUUAACUCUGGAACUGCCAUCAAAACUUUUCAGCUAGAGUAUGAUAGAGGAAAGCAGAAUUUCUAGUGUAGAGGUGAAAUUCGUAGAUAUUAGAAAGAAUACCAAUUGCGAAGGCAGCUUUCUGGAUCAUUACUGACACUGAGGAACGAAAGCAUGGGUAGCGAAGAGGAUUAGAUACCCUCGUAGUCCAUGCCGUAAACGAUGUGUGUUAGACGUUGGAAAUUUAUUUUCAGUGUCGCAGCGAAAGCGAUAAACACACCGCCUGGGGAGUACGACCGCAAGGUUAAAACUCAAAUGAAUUGACGGGGACCCGCACAAGUAGUGGAGCAUGUGGUUUAAUUCGAAGAUACGCGCAGAACCUUACCAACACUUGACAUGUUCGUCGCGACUCUAAGAGAUUAGAGUUUUCGGUUCGGCCGGACGAAACACAGGUGCUGCAUGGCUGUCGUCAGCUCGUGUCGUGAGAUGUUGGGUUAAGUCCCGCAACGAGCGCAACCCUCACUUUUAGUUGCCAUCAUUAAGUUGGGCACUCUGAAAGAACUGCCAGUGAUAAGCUGGAGGAAGGUGGGGAUGACGUCAAGUCCUCAUGGCCCUUACGUGUUGGGCUACACACGUGCUACAAUGGUAUCUACAACAGGAAGCAAAACUGCGAAGUUAAGCAAAUCCCUAAAAGAUACCUCAGUUCGGAUUGCACUCUGCAACUCGAGUGCAUGAAGCUGGAAUUACUAGUAAUCGUGGAUCAGCGUGCCACGGUGAAUGCGUUCCCGGGUCUUGUACACACCGCCCGUCACACCAUGGGAGUUGGUUCUACCUUAAGGCAAGGUUUUAAACCCUUGACCACGGUAUAGUCAGCGACUGGGGUGAAGUCGUAACAAGGUAGCCGUAGGGGAACCUGCGGCUGGAUUACCUCCUUUCUAA